This 375-nucleotide ribosomal RNA is filed under the name uncultured eukaryote. Its description in RNAcentral is "partial 18S ribosomal RNA". It matches the Rfam family "Eukaryotic small subunit ribosomal RNA", at positions 592 to 976 of the family's 1831-position model. The record is from RNAcentral.
CAAUAGCGUAUAUUUAAGUUGUUGCAGUUAAAAAGCUCGUAGUUGGAUUUCGGUUAAGAGCGACCGGUCCGCCGUUUGGUGUGCACUGGUUGGUUUUAACUUCCUGUAGAGGACGUGCUCUGGGUUUAACGACCUGGACUCGGAGUCUACGUGGUUACUUUGAAAAAAUUAGAGUGUUCAAAGCGGGCUUACGCUUGAAUAUUUCAGCAUGGAAUAACACUAUAGGACUCCUGUCCUAUUUCGUUGGUCUCGGGACGGGAGUAAUGAUUAAGAGGAACAGUUGGGGGCAUUCGUAUUUCAUUGUCAGAGGUGAAAUUCUUGGAUUUAUGAAAGACGAACUUCUGCGGAAGCAUUUGCCAAGGAUGUUUUCAUUAA